UGACUGACUUGGUUUCAAGUCUGGGCUAAU
Molecule: non-coding RNA, 30 nt
Filed under: Rattus norvegicus (Norway rat)
Lineage: Eukaryota; Metazoa; Chordata; Mammalia; Rodentia; Muridae
Source: RNAcentral